GCCUUCGUGGUGUAGUGGUCAGCAUGUUCUACCCGUAUUUGAGAAGUCCAUGGUUCGAGUCCCGGCGAGGGCA
This 73-nucleotide transfer RNA is filed under the name Stegodyphus mimosarum. It matches the Rfam family "tRNA". From Rfam's summary of the family: Transfer RNA (tRNA) molecules are approximately 80 nucleotides in length. Their secondary structure includes four short double-helical elements and three loops (D, anti-codon, and T loops). Lineage: Eukaryota; Metazoa; Arthropoda; Arachnida; Araneae; Eresidae. The record is from Rfam by way of RNAcentral.